GAUCCUGGCUCAGAUUGAACGCUGGCGGCAGGCUUAACACAUGCAAGUCGAACGGUAACAGGAGAGAGCUUGCUUUCUUGCUGACGAGUGGCGGACGGGUGAGUAAUGCUUGGGAAUCUGGCUUAUGGAGGGGGAUAACGACGGGAAACUGUCGCUAAUACCGCGUAGAGUCGAGAGACGAAAGUGCGGGACCGCAAGGCCGCAUGCCAUAGGAUGAGCCCAAGUGGGAUUAGGUAGUUGGUGGGG
This 246-nucleotide ribosomal RNA is filed under the name uncultured bacterium. Its description in RNAcentral is "partial 16S ribosomal RNA". It matches the Rfam family "Bacterial small subunit ribosomal RNA", at positions 15 to 257 of the family's 1533-position model. The record is from RNAcentral.